CGGCGGCGAAACGGCUGCAUUCAAUGACUUUGCUUGGUGUCUCCUUCAAUCCGAAGUCAAUCACUCAGUGAGUCAUCGUCUUCUCUCUCUCAAUCUCUCAUGGACGGUCGCCGGUACUAGCCCUAGCUCUCCCUCUGUUCUCGAAGCUCGACUGCACCAUUGAAGCUUUGUUUUGAGAAAGAUCUAUACCUUCAAAUUCUUCACCCCGAAGCAAUCAAGAGCCAACACAAGAGUUCCCUACAAGAAAGAUUAGUUUGCUAUAUCGACCAUUGGGGCUUGGUUGGUGUGAUUGUAGCAAGAUUAAAGUCUAAUUGAAUUUCUUUCUGGGUUCUAUAUUUGAUCGGUGAAGGAUUAAAGCUUUGUUUAGACGAGGCAAAACAAUUAAAGUCACUCCCAUUAUAGCCCAACAAUUUGAAGCAGGAGGUGAAUGAGAGCUUUCCAUUUGGGCGAUUGCUACCGAGACCCCAGAAUUUCGAAGAUCUGUGUUCGAGGUAGCUGAGAGCUUGGAGCUGGUAAGAAGGAAAUUAAUUGUUGUUUGAUAAAGAGUGAAAGCAUUUCGUGCUUGGGCAUUUAAUUGAAGAAAGGAACCAAGUAUAUUCUUUAGAAAACAAGUUUAAUUCCAAAUUCAAGUAGGCAUAGAGAGAUAUAACACACAACAUCAGAAAUGCUUUGUGGGAGAUUUGGCAUGCUGGUCCUAUAUGGGUUUGAGAAAGCUAAUUAACCAUCAAAAGUGCAGGCAGUCAUAUAUCUUUCUUACAUCUUUGGUUCUCGGAUUUGCUUGU
This is a long non-coding RNA of Rosa rugosa (rugosa rose), 782 nucleotides long. RefSeq lists it as uncharacterized. The transcript is spliced from 6 exons. NCBI's taxonomy places the organism in Eukaryota, Viridiplantae, Streptophyta, Magnoliopsida, Rosales, Rosaceae. The record is from RefSeq and is a predicted model, not a curated record.